UCUUGGUCAUUUAGAGGAAGUAAAAGUCGUAACAAGGUCUCCGUAGGUGAACCUGCGGAGGGAUCAUUACAGAGUUCAUGCCCUCCGGGUAGAUCUCCCACCCAUUGCUAUAACUACUCUCGUUGCUUUGGCGGGCCGCUGGGCCCUGCCCGGCCGCCGGCCCCGGCUGGCGCGUGCCCGCCAGAGACCUCACAGACUCUGAAUGUUAGUGUCGUCCGAGUAACUAUACAAUCGUUAAAACUUUCAACAACGGAUCUCUUGGUUCUGGCAUCGAUGAAGAACGCAGCGAAAUGCGAUAAGUAAUGCGAAUUGCAGAAUUCAGUGAGUCAUCGAAUCUUUGAACGCACAUUGCGCCCUGUGGUAUUCCGCAGGGCAUGCCUGUUCGAGCGUCAUUUCAACCCUCAAGCCUCGCUUGGUGUUGGGCCCUGCCCGCCGCGGCCGGCCCUAAAGAUAGUGGCGGCGCCGCCUGGCCCUCAGCGUAGUACAGCUCUCGCUCCAGGGUCCGGCGGCAGCCUGCCAGAACCCCCCAACUCUGUGGUUGACCUCGGAUCAGGUAGGGAUACCCGCUGAACUUAAGCAUAUCAAUAAGCGGAGGAA
This 597-nucleotide ribosomal RNA is filed under the name uncultured Oidiodendron. RNAcentral describes it as "eukaryotic LSU rRNA". The stretch from base 239 to 392 matches the Rfam family "5.8S ribosomal RNA". Lineage: Eukaryota; Fungi; Ascomycota; Leotiomycetes; Myxotrichaceae. The record is from RNAcentral.